GCGUGUGUAGCUCAGUGGUAGAGCGCCACUCUUAUAAAGUGGAUGUCCCAGGUUCGAUCCCUGGCACACGCA
Molecule: transfer RNA, 72 nt
Filed under: Candidatus Sungiibacteriota bacterium
Lineage: Bacteria; Candidatus Sungiibacteriota
Description: Candidatus Sungbacteria bacterium tRNA-Ile
Rfam family: tRNA
About the family: Transfer RNA (tRNA) molecules are approximately 80 nucleotides in length. Their secondary structure includes four short double-helical elements and three loops (D, anti-codon, and T loops).
Source: RNAcentral